Molecule: ribosomal RNA, 576 nt
Filed under: Aspicolpus abductoria
Lineage: Eukaryota; Metazoa; Arthropoda; Insecta; Hymenoptera; Braconidae
Description: eukaryotic LSU rRNA
Source: RNAcentral
GCAUUUGGUAUAUAUGCAAAUUGCGAUGUARGAUUGUCCUUGUGGUAACACUUGCACGUGUUUGUAUUAUUUAAUUGCCAAGAUAUCGUCGGCCGUGCACUUCUCUCCUAGUAGGACGUCGCGACCCGUUGGGUGUCGGUCUACGGCCCAGAUGGUAGUCUUUGAUGUCACCGCAAGGUGUAAUGUUGAAGACCACUGGUGUUUCCUGACCGAGUGCCCGGCGGUAUUCGCACGGUAUUAAGCCGCAUUUAUGCGUCAAACUCGCCACAAGCGCGGUCAAUGUUCUGGUAGUUUGCGGACUUAGUGCCGUCGCUAGGCUUGACCAGCUGUUGGUUGUGCGAUGUUCUUUGACUGGCUUGUGUAUGUAAAAUUACCGGUCGGCGACGCUACUGCUUUGGGUACUUUCAGGACCCGUCUUGAAACACGGACCAAGGAGUCUAACAUGUACGCAAGUCAUUGGGAUUUAUUUUUUAUAAUGAAAACCUAAAGGCGUAAUGAAAGUAAAAAUUGUCUUUACGACAAUUGAGGAAGGAUGAGUUACGUUACGAUGUAUCUCCGCACUCNNGGGGCGUCUCG